CUACCAUGCAGUCGACGAGGUUCAUUCGGUAGCAAUACUGGAGAAGACCAAGUGGCGAACGGGUGAGUAGCACGUGAGCAACCUGCCCCGAAGACCGGGACAACACCGGGAAACCGGUGCUAAUACCGGAUAUCCCCACCAGAUCGCAUGGUUCGGUGAGGAAAUGGAUUCCGCUUCGGGAGGGGCUCGCGGCCUAUCAGCUAGUUGGUGAGGUAAUGGCUCACCAAGGCGUCGACGGGUAGCUGGUCUGAGAGGACGAUCAGCCACACUGGGACUGAGACACGGCCCAGACUCCUACGGGAGGCAGCAGUGGGGAAUCUUGCACAAUGGGCGAAAGCCUGAUGCAGCAACGCCGCGUGAGGGACGAAGGCUUUCUGAGUUGUAAACCUCUUUCAGCAGGGACGAUAAUGACGGUACCUGCAGAAGAAGCACCGGCCAACUACGUGCCAGCAGCCGCGGUAAUACGUAGGGUGCAAGCGUUGUCCGGAUUUAUUGGGCGUAAAGAGCUCGUAGGCGGCUUGGCAAGUCGAAUGUGAAACCUCCAGGCUCAACCUGGAGUCGCCAUUCGAUACUGCUAUGGCUAGAGUUUGGUAGGGGACCACGGAAUUCCUGGUGUAGCGGUGAAAUGCGCAGAUAUCAGGAGGAACACCAGCGGCGAAGGCGGUGGUCUGGGCCAAUACUGACGCUGAGGAGCGAAAGCGUGGGGAGCGAACAGGAUUAGAUACCCUGGUAGUCCACGCCGUAAACGUUGGGCACUAGGUGUGGGGACCUAUCGACGGUUUCUGUGCCGCAGCUAACGCAUUAAGUGCCCCGCCUGGGGAGUACGGCCGCAAGGCUAAAACUCAAGAUGACGGGGGCCGCACAGCGCGAAGCAUGUGCCUAUCGAGCCA
This 890-nucleotide ribosomal RNA is filed under the name uncultured Actinomycetes bacterium. RNAcentral describes it as "bacterial SSU rRNA". It matches the Rfam family "Bacterial small subunit ribosomal RNA", at positions 49 to 958 of the family's 1533-position model. Lineage: Bacteria; Bacillati; Actinomycetota; Actinomycetes. The record is from RNAcentral.